RNAcentral lists this ribosomal RNA (630 nucleotides) under uncultured bacterium. RNAcentral's name for it is "bacterial SSU rRNA". It matches the Rfam family "Bacterial small subunit ribosomal RNA", at positions 862 to 1498 of the family's 1533-position model. The record is from RNAcentral.
AAACAUUCCGCCUGGGGAGUACGGUCGCAAGAUUAAAACUCAAAGGAAUAGACGGGGACCCGCACAAGUGGUGGAGCAUGUGGUUUAAUUCGAAGAUACGCGAAGAACCUUACCUAGCCUUGACAUAUUUAAGAACUCCGUAGAGAUACAGAGGUGCCUUCGGGAGCUUUCUUACAGGUGCUGCACGGCUGUCGUCAGCUCGUGUCGUGAGAUGUUGGGUUAAGUCCCGCAACGAGCGCAACCCUCGUCACUAGUUACUAACGGCUCGGCCGAGGACUCUAGUGAGACUGCCUUCGUAAGGAGGAGGAAGGUGAGGACGACGUCAAGUCAUCAUGGCCCUUACGGCUAGGGCAGCACACGUGCUACAAUGGCCAGGACAGUGAGACGCAAUACCGCGAGGUGGAGCAAAUCUAUAAACCUGGUCUCAGUUCGGAUUGUUCUCUGCAACUCGAGAACAUGAAGCUGGAAUCACUAGUAAUCGUAGAUCAGCUAUGCUACGGUGAAUACGUUCCCGGGUCUUGUACUCACCGCCCGUCACACCAUGGGAGUUGAUUUCACCCGAAGCGGGGAAGCUAAACUGGCUACCCUCCACGGUGGAAUUAGCGACUGGGGUGAAGUCGUAACAACGUA